CUUUGCAAACCUGAAAAACAAGUGAACAUCUGGGCAGUUUGAGGGAAGCCCUGCAGUGGGUCCUCUGCCAGCCUGGCACUCUGGGCAGAUCUGGCACCAAAGCCCAGGCAGGGUAGAGAGCUGGAGAAUAGCUUCCUGCAAGGGAGGAUGUGCUCUAAAGGGAUCCCAGGGAAGGUACCAGGAGUUUGGGAUCACUGGAAGGGGAAGGAAUCAGCUCAGGAUAAGGGAGUUCCCAGAAGAGAGAUAGUACAAGCCUGGGGUCUGUUAUCUCCCUGCAACUCCUGCUGCCAGUUCGUGCUAUAGAUCCUCUGCCAAGAGUGGUACCCAAGGGCAGGUACCGGUGAUGGGAGCCCUGUCAGGCCCCAUGUUAGGAAGUCCAGGUGGGGGCUGCUGGGGGCAGAGCAGGCACAGAGGUGCAGGGCCUUGUAGAGAUGCCUUGGGUAUCUAUAGGGUGGGCCCUGUGGCCGGUUUCCUGAGGGAAACUGUGGAAACAAAUCUCCUAAACUGUCCCUCAGGAGAAGGCAGCCUACCCUUACAUCAGGGUGAGCUUAAGACUGAGCAACAUGUGAGGCAGGACCACUGGGCUUGGCCCAAGUCAGGCCCCCAAACCUCUUGAGUGUUCAAGCACUGGACUCCAGGGAAUAUAUUUCGUGUUCCAGGUCAAAUCAGCCAAAUCAGUUCCAACUCCUAUCAAUUAAGCAGGACUCAAUCAUUCAGAAAACCAUCUUGCUUGAGCAGGCAGAACUCAAUCGUUCCAAACGCCAUGUAGGGUGCUACAACUGGUGAGCGUCCUCCAUCCCAGACCCAUCGCCCUGGGACUUCAGAUACUCCCAGAUCCAUUGGCAGGCACCCUAUGCACAGACCCAAGCAGGAGAGUGGUUUCUUCCCAGGAGCCUCAGCCCCUUUCGGAAAGGUGCUGCAUGCCUUUAACUUCCUGACAUGGUGGGUGCCAAGAACUCGCACUCCUCUUCAGAGUGACUAAAGACAAAGUUUCCUUAAGCUUUCCAAGAUGUACUUUAACACCUUAAUCCUAACAAACCAGCCUCAGCCACCUUUUGCUCCCACCUCGAGGCAUUGCUCUUGUGAGCUGAAUUCUGUACAGCACUGAAGUGCUUGUAAUCUGCCUUGUAUUCAUCAGCUUUCCUUUCACUAGGAUCUACUUUGCAGUGAGUCACUCAGCAAUACACAGCAUAAUGGGCUUUAAUUUUCCUUGCUGGGCAGACGUGAAAUGUUCUUUCAUUUUCCGCAAUCCACGGCUGACGCAUGUUUUACUGGCCAGGGCUUGGCUAAGUCUCUGAUGCCUGCAGCUCUGUGCGAUUCUGUUUUGAGGCUGUACCAGCAUCUUCUGGAUUGGGCAGUUCUUCCCCAUGCUACUUGCUAUCUCUGGAGGAUGAUGAAGAAACGUUGGCUCAAAAUGCCACAGAAAGUUCCUUCAGCGUAGUGCUCCAGUUGGAUGUAUAACAGCUUCAUGGAUGGUCAGAUGAAGCAGCUGCACCUUGAACCCUUUGCACUUGGAACUACCAGCUCUACAGACACCAACAGGGGCCUGAGAGCUGAGCUGGUUCCUUGACUCAUUGGGCAUUACCACCAGCAAGACUUUGCAACUCAGAUGUAUUAUGUCCUAAAUGAUACUUAUGAUCCUAACCCUUCAGGGGUUUUACUGAGGCAAAAUCCAUGAGAAUUUACAAGCAAGUCUGUUGCUGAUGCAUGAGACGAAAUAGAGUCAGUCUCACCCUCCUAAAACUGUGUUGGCUUAGAAAGAACUAACAAUAGUAAAAAACAGUAAAAAUAAUCAUUUUUUCUGCCAGGUACAUUCACCCCUGAAUACACAAAUCUGUUGAGUUAGACAAGCCAUUUUUAUGUAAUCCUUUUUGGGAGAAUUGCUUCUCCAGAAGUGAUGAAGUAACGUUUUUACUUACGCAGUAUAAUUAAAUUUUGGAAAGUGGA
Molecule: long non-coding RNA, 1947 nt
Organism: Gavialis gangeticus (Gharial)
Lineage: Eukaryota; Metazoa; Chordata; Crocodylia; Gavialidae
Exons: 2
Source: RefSeq, a predicted model, not a curated record